CGAAGGGCUGGCGGAAUCGGUGAAGGCGCGCCGCGUCGCGAGCGGCAGCGGAAACUGACGGGGCGGCAAGCAGCGCGAUCGUCCCGUGGCGCCUCGGCCA
RNAcentral lists this transfer RNA (100 nucleotides) under Burkholderia multivorans. Its description in RNAcentral is "tRNA-Ala(cgc)". The record is from RNAcentral. Lineage: Bacteria; Pseudomonadati; Pseudomonadota; Betaproteobacteria; Burkholderiales; Burkholderiaceae.